ACCGGCGCGGGCUAUGGCUGCGACUUCUCUAAUGUCCGCUUUGGCUGCUCGGCUGCUGCAGCCCGCGCACAGCUGCUCCCUUCGCCUUCGCCCUUUCCACCUCGCGGCAGUUCGAAAUGAAGCUGUUGUCAUUUCUGGAAGGAAACUGGCCCAGCAGAUCAAGCAGGAAGUGCGGCAGGAGGUAGAAGAGUGGGUGGCCUCAGGCAACAAACAGCCACACCUGAGCGUGAUCCUGGUUGGCGAGAAUCCUGCAAGUCACUCCUACGUUCUCAACAAAACCAGGGCAGCUGCAGAUGUGGGUAUGUGUCCUUCUGAGACCUCGACUGCUGUUCAGUUGAGGUUUAUAUGAGGCAAAGUCCAUUCUAAUUUAUGAUUUCUUUUUUCUGAUUAGGAAACCCAAGCAGAGGAGGCUAAUGUGAUCGAACUGUAUCCUAAAACUUUGUCAUAGGAAAUCAGACUAUAUCUUUCGGGGUUUAUAGACUA
This 483-nucleotide small RNA is filed under the name Pongo abelii (Sumatran orangutan). Its description in RNAcentral is "processed transcript". The record is from RNAcentral. Lineage: Eukaryota; Metazoa; Chordata; Mammalia; Primates; Hominidae.